Non-coding RNA from Hordeum vulgare subsp. vulgare (domesticated barley), 124 nucleotides. The record is from Rfam. NCBI's taxonomy places the organism in Eukaryota, Viridiplantae, Streptophyta, Magnoliopsida, Poales, Poaceae.
UUGCUACUCAUUCCGUCCGGAAAUACUUGUCCUAAAGAUGAAUGUAUCUAGACUUAUGUUAGUUAUAGAUACAUUUAUUAUAUUCAUUUUUAAGACAAGUAUUUUCGGACGGAGGGAGUAGAUU